This 83-nucleotide transfer RNA is filed under the name Betaproteobacteria bacterium. RNAcentral's name for it is "tRNA-Ala". Lineage: Bacteria; Pseudomonadati; Pseudomonadota; Betaproteobacteria. The record is from RNAcentral.
UCGCCGCCGGCUACCGCCGGCGCGCGGCCGCCGGCCUGGCGCGACGGCUGGUCAAGCGGCUGUUCGAAUCCGCCGGCGCCUGA